GGAGGGCUACGUGCUACUCCAGAACAGGCGCACCUGCUCAGAGCAGAGCCUCUAGCCUCCCUCCGCUCCGCCCGCAGAGCCCGCUGGCUGCAGCUCUGUGCCCGGCGAGACUGCGGCUGCCUGCAGCCCCCAUUCACCCCCACGGAGCUAACAAUAAACCUGGUCCACCUCCA
Long non-coding RNA from Myotis lucifugus (little brown bat), 173 nucleotides. RefSeq lists it as uncharacterized. Lineage: Eukaryota; Metazoa; Chordata; Mammalia; Chiroptera; Vespertilionidae. The record is from RefSeq and is a predicted model, not a curated record. The transcript has 2 exons.